AGGAUGGAGAGUUUGAUCCUGGCUCCGGAUGAACUAUGGCGGCAGGCUUAAUACAUGCAAGUCGAACGGUAAGGCCGAGCGUAGCAAUACGUGAGGUACACGAGUGGCGCACGGGUGCGUAACGCGUAUGCAACCUGCCCCUAACCGGGACAAAACAGCUGGAAACGGCUGCUAAUAUCCCAUGGCCAUGCGAGGCGGCAUCGCCUUGCAUGUAAAGAUUCAUUGGUUAGGGAUGGGCAUGCGUAUUAUUAGGUAGUUGGUGGGGUAACGGCCCACCAUGCCGACGAUGGUUAGGGGUUCUGAGUGGAAGGUCCCCCACAUUGGAACUGAGACACGGUCCAGA
This 343-nucleotide ribosomal RNA is filed under the name Bacteroidales bacterium. RNAcentral's name for it is "bacterial SSU rRNA". It matches the Rfam family "Bacterial small subunit ribosomal RNA", at positions 1 to 335 of the family's 1533-position model. The record is from RNAcentral. Lineage: Bacteria; Pseudomonadati; Bacteroidota; Bacteroidia; Bacteroidales.